CAAACUUGAACAUAAAAUAAAUAUGUAUAAAGAAAUGAACAGUAAAAAACAUGUACAUAAAAUUGCCGCGAAAAAUGCUUUUAAUCAAUUUCAAUUGAAUGAUGACCCAGUACAAACAUCAACGAGACGAGUGUUUACGCGUACAUGCGAUUGUACGUCGCUGGCGAUGGAACUUUACAUGUGGCUAGGAAAAUAUGUAACGAGGCAACAGCUACAAAAUUGUAGAAAUUGAGUUGUAUUACUUUGAGUUGUUCAUGUGCGCUGUCGUCUAACUGAUACGUGUAACGGAUGCCUUUUAGAGGUAUGGAGCUUUAUUUGGAAUAUACAAGAAAUAAAUCAAAUGCUCAGAA
Molecule: long non-coding RNA, 350 nt
Organism: Anastrepha obliqua
Lineage: Eukaryota; Metazoa; Arthropoda; Insecta; Diptera; Tephritidae
Exons: 2
Source: RefSeq, a predicted model, not a curated record